Long non-coding RNA from Bombus impatiens (common eastern bumble bee), 112 nucleotides. RefSeq lists it as uncharacterized. The record is from RefSeq and is a predicted model, not a curated record. The transcript has 3 exons. NCBI's taxonomy places the organism in Eukaryota, Metazoa, Arthropoda, Insecta, Hymenoptera, Apidae.
UCUACUUAUCACUGAAGACAAGUCAGUUGAGUUCUACUUGUACUGUGGACAAGUAAGUUGAGUUACACUUGAAUUGUGGACCAUUAAGUUCAGUUCGACUUAGACUUUGGAA